This 483-nucleotide ribosomal RNA is filed under the name uncultured bacterium. Its description in RNAcentral is "partial 16S ribosomal RNA". It matches the Rfam family "Bacterial small subunit ribosomal RNA", at positions 30 to 507 of the family's 1533-position model. The record is from RNAcentral.
AUUGAACGCUGGCGGCAUGCUUUACACAUGCAAGUCGAACGGUAACAGGGUGCUUGCACCGCUGACGAGUGGCGAACGGGUGAGUAAUGCAUCGGAAUGUACCGUGUAAUGGGGGAUAGCUCGGCGAAAGCCGGAUUAAUACCGCAUACGCCCUGAGGGGGAAAGUGGGGGACCGAAAGGCCUCACGUUAUACGAGCAGCCGAUGUCUGAUUAGCUAGUUGGUGAGGUAAAGGCUCACCAAGGCGUCGAUCAGUAGCGGGUCUGAGAGGAUGAUCCGCCACACUGGGACUGAGACACGGCCCAGACUCCUACGGGAGGCAGCAGUGGGGAAUUUGGACAAUGGGCGCAAGCCUGAUCCAGCCAUGCCGCGUGUCUGAAGAAGGCCUUCGGGUUGUAAAGGACUUUUGUCCGGGAGCAAAUCCUAGUGGUUAAUAACCGCUGGGUCUGAGAGUACCGGAAGAAUAAGCACCGGCUAACUACGUG